This 252-nucleotide ribosomal RNA is filed under the name uncultured bacterium. Its description in RNAcentral is "partial 16S ribosomal RNA". It matches the Rfam family "Bacterial small subunit ribosomal RNA", at positions 524 to 776 of the family's 1533-position model. The record is from RNAcentral.
GACAGAGGGUGCAAGCGUUAAUCGGAAUUACUGGGCGUAAAGCGUGCGUAGACGGUUAUGUAAGUCGGGUGUGAAAGCCCCGGGCUCAACCUGGGAAUUGCAUUCGAGACUGCAUAGCUAGGGUGCGGAAGAGGGAAGCGGAAUUUCCGGUGUAGCGGUGAAAUGCGUAGAUAUCGGAAGGAACACCAGUGGCGAAAGCGGCUUCCUGGUCCAGCACCGACGUCAGGCACGAAAGCGUGGGGAGCAAACAGG